UUGUUUUUCUCAGAAUAUCUCCCACUACUGCACACAGACAAAACUUUGUUUCCUUAAAAUAUCCUCUUUCACACAUUACCAAAGAAGAUAACGUUGAAUUAUAAAAUAUAGCCAAUUUAAGGAGAAAAUAGAAAAAGAAGGGGGAAAAAGAACAGAUGCAUCAAACAGUCUCACAGCUCUGCGAUGGGGAGACAGGUGGAACACUCUACCAGGUAGCCCAGGAUGUGAACUUCCUGUUGGACGACAUGAAGCAGAGAGACUAAGUGAUCCCCAUCCUACCCAUGACUUGUUUCUGCAAACAGAGGCACAGAAACUGCACAACAACAAAAUAGAGCUUUAGGACUUGAAAACUUCCGCUGUGUAUUUGAGUAAUCAUCUACUUUCAAGGAUAAAUGAACUGCAGAGUUUCCCAAACAUGGAACGUUUGAAAGAAGAAAGCAAAAAAGACAAAGGGUUAACUCAUUACUUCUGUACAAAGAAAAAGUGAGAAACUAAGAAAAACCAGAGGACAACAAAAAACACGAGGAUAACAAAGGACAAGGAGAAUGAGAAGAAAGUUAUUCAAAGGGCGUUAAAGAAGAAAAGGAGAUGGCAGGAACAAAACCUUUGAGUUAAGAACUAUGAACGGAGAAAAAGGAUUCUUCCCAUCCACAAUCCACUAGGACAGCUAUUACAGAAUUGAAAACACCAUAAAAUAGGAAAUGUUGAUCAUGAUGCAAAAAACUUGCAGUUCUUUUGUAUUGCUGGGGGGAAAACAAAAUGUCAUGGCUGCUGUGGAAAAUAAUUUGGCGGGUCUUCAAAAAGUUGAAGAUAGAAUUACAAUAUAAUUUAGCAAGUCCCACCCCUUGAAGUGGAGCAGAAGAAUUGAAAAUAGAGAAUCAGCAGUUAAGUGUGCACUCAUGUUAAUCACCAAUAUUUCACCAAAAAGUGAAAAUGAUUCAAAGUGUUAUGCUUUAACCUGUAUUGUUAUGUUGUUAUGCCCCCUUUUAUCUCAUGCUCUCUCUUAUUCAUUAAAAAAUCAUUUAAUUUUUUAAAAAAAUAUAUCAACCAAUAAAAAAUGCUCCUGGUUCUAUAGGGAAAAAGAAACUCUUUACAACUGUUGGUUAGAGAGUAGAUUAAUAUGAACACUGUGGAAAUCAGUGUGGAGAUUCCUCAAAAACUUAGGAUUAGAGGUCAACCCAGGUAUUCCCCUUCUGUGUAUCUUCCCAGAAUGAUUGAAAAACAUCACACUACAGUGACAUAUGUGAAACCAUAAGGUUCAAAAUAUACAAUAGUCACUGUGAAAUGGAAGGAAACUGUUUAAUAAAAAGAAGAAACUAAGACAGGAGAAAAGAGAAAGGAUAGAAGGGAAAAAAAAGUGCAAGUUAGUUAUACCAUUAGUGUCACUUAGUUCACUGAAUAGGAAAGGUUGUGCUAAUAUUGAUUGAAGUAAUUUUUAUGCCCAUAUUUUGUACUUGAGUGACUAAAGAUAAUGUGUGAUUUAUUAACAAUUGUUACUUUUUCAUUAUUUUGUUGUGAAAAUUUGCCUUACCUUUUCUUCUUAAUAUUAAUAAAUAAAGUA
Long non-coding RNA from Cavia porcellus (domestic guinea pig), 1561 nucleotides. RefSeq lists it as uncharacterized. NCBI's taxonomy places the organism in Eukaryota, Metazoa, Chordata, Mammalia, Rodentia, Caviidae. The record is from RefSeq and is a predicted model, not a curated record. The transcript is spliced from 3 exons.